UCCUGCUGUCCUCACUCUCAGGCAUCUUCUGCUCACUUAGAAGAAACAGAAUUAAAUGGGUGCCCAAGACAUUGUCACCAAGACAGCCUGGGACUGCACGGCUGGGGAUGCUGAGCUCCCUGCUGGAAUGUGAAGGCAAGCCCUGAGCUGCAGCUGCAGUGACACAGCCCCAGAGCUCAGACUUUCUAAAAAGCAAGAAGAGCUCUUGUUCUCUGCAAACCACGCAGUUCCUGUUGACUACACGUGGAUUUGGCCCCACCAAGGCCCUCUGGCCUCACCAGGACCUGCCUGAAGGAUGGAAACCACAUCUAACCCCAGGAAAUCCCCAGGAAUGGUGGCAGAGCCUUUCAAGGGUCACGUUGUCUUCCAAAUAUCCGGGAACCUCAGGAAACCUUUUAAGAGGAGGAGGAGGAGGAGGAGGAGGAGGAGGAGCAAACCAUCACCAGGUGGUUUCCUUCCCCUGGAAGCGGAUGAGGAGGAGAAGAAAAGGUGAGACUGAAGAAAAUGGAGUGAAGGAAAUCCCAAUGCACUGGGGAUCCAUUCCCUGGGAAAACCAGUGUUCCCUGGGCCUGGAAACUGGGGAAUCAUUUCCUUGAAAGUGGGGAAUCAUUACCCUACUGGGAUGGAUCCUUGGUCAGGUUGGGAGGGAUCACUCCCACAGCUCCCAGGGGAAGCUGGGCUCUGCAAUUCCCAGAUUUUGGGAGGGAAAUGGAAUCACAGAGAGUCACAAGGCCACAGCUCCACCCAGGAUGUUCCUCUUCCUCAGCCCUUGGAAUCAGGGGUUCCUGACAAGCCUUGGAGAGGGCCAAGGCUAACAGAGAGGUGAAAUAUGGGAUCUGUCAGGAGUUUAAUUAAAGAGAGAACCAUUCCAGCCCCUCAGCUCGUUUAAAGCCCAGCUCAGGAGGCUCUUCUCUUCUCACAGGUAAUUAUCCAAGCAUUCCCUGCACAUAUUCCCAGGGAAAAGCAGAGUGUGCUCAUCCAUCACCUGCUUAAUGCCAGGGCUGGUGAUAAACAGCAACAAGGAGUUGGCAGGGUGAAAUGGGAUUGGGAUCUUCUCCCAAAACAACCCCAAGAGGUGUUUCAGAGCAGGAAGAUUUUAACAUAUUAAGGAAUUAAUAAUCAAAUUUAAUUAAUUGGAUAAUUAAUUUGAUUUUAUUUAAAUACUUAAAUAUUUAAAUAAUUAAAUAAUUUCCCUGUGCAGAGAGGAAGAGCAAACCCUUCCAUGGCACAGAUGGAAAUGCAGCAUUUCCCUGGGCUCUGUGUCCCUCCUGUGCAGGGCUCAGGGCUGGAGGCUCCCCCAGGC
RNAcentral lists this long non-coding RNA (1303 nucleotides) under Zonotrichia albicollis (white-throated sparrow). RNAcentral's name for it is "lncRNA (ENSZALG00000009698.1)". The record is from RNAcentral. Lineage: Eukaryota; Metazoa; Chordata; Aves; Passeriformes; Passerellidae.